This 467-nucleotide ribosomal RNA is filed under the name uncultured Methanomicrobiales archaeon. Its description in RNAcentral is "bacterial SSU rRNA". It matches the Rfam family "Archaeal small subunit ribosomal RNA", at positions 871 to 1337 of the family's 1478-position model. Lineage: Archaea; Methanobacteriati; Methanobacteriota; Methanomicrobia; Methanomicrobiales. The record is from RNAcentral.
CGGGGAGCACCACAACAGGUGGAGCCUGCGGUUAAUCGACUCAACGCCGGGAAACUCACCAGAUAAGACAGCUGAAUGAUAGUCGGGCUGAAGACUCUACUUGACUAGCUGAGAGGAGGUGCAUGGCCGUCGUCAGUUCGUACUGUGAAGCAUCCUGUUAAGUCAGGCAACGAGCGAGACCCACGCCAACAGUUGCCAGCUCGUCCUCCGGGAUGGUGGGGACACUGUUGGGACCGCCUCUGCUAAAGAGGAGGAAGGAAUGGGCAACGGUAGGUCAGCAUGCCCCGAAUUAUCUGGGCUACACGCGGGCUACAAUGGGUGGGACAAUGGGUAUCGACACCGAAAGGUGAAGGCAAUCUCCUAAACCCAUCCGUAGUUCGGAUUGUGGGCUGCAACUCGCCCACAUGAAGCUGGAAUCUGUAGUAAUCGUGUCUCAAAAUGGCACGGUGAAUAUGUCCCUGCUCCUU